Molecule: regulatory RNA element, 87 nt
Organism: Paenibacillus rhizosphaerae
Lineage: Bacteria; Bacillati; Bacillota; Bacilli; Caryophanales; Paenibacillaceae
Source: Rfam
CACAUGCUGUAACCGCUCCGGUCGGGUUUACAAGUGCCGCUGCUUAAGACGGCGGGCCACCUGGAUUAGGCGAGUCUGAGACAUGAG